UCCUAAUUCUAAUAGAAUAUUAAUAAUGCUAAAGAAUAUUUAAUCAAAUUUAGAGAAACCUCAAAUGAAUUCAAAAGAAACAAUAAGAAAUCUUAAGAAAUAUUAGAAUGAUUACAAACAUAUCACAAAUAUAUCUCAAUUCAAUCUUAAUUAAAUUUUAGUUGAAAUCUUACUUCAUUCAAAUUUUAGGCCAAAAACUAAAUAAAUCUUAAAUCCUAAAUAAACUCAAAUAAAAUCCUAAAUCCUAAAUCAAAUCCUAAUCAAAUCUUAACCAAAGCUUAAAUCCUAACCAAAUUCUAAAUCCUAAACCAAAUUCUAAUCCUAAAUCAAAUCCUAAUCAAAUCCUAAAACUUAAAUCAAAUCCUAAUCCUAAAUUAAAUCCUAACCAAAUCCUAAAUCAUAACCUUAAAUCAAAUCCUAACCAAACCUUAAUCAAAUCCUAACUCUAAAUCAAAUCCUAAUCUUAAUCCUAAAUCCUAAAUCAAAUCCUAAUUCUAAAAUAAAUCCUAACCAAACUUUAAUCUUAAAUCAAAUCCUAAUCAAACUCUAAACUCUAAAUCCUAAACCAAAUCCUAAUCUUAAAUCCAAUCUUAACCAAAUCCUAAAUCCUAACUCUAAAUCAAAUCCUAAUCAAAUCCUAAUCCUAAAACCUAAAUCAAAUCCUAACCAAAUCCUAACCCUAAAUCAAAUCCUAACCAAAUCUUAACUCUAAAUCAAACCCUAACCAAAUCCUAAAUUCUAAACCAACUCCUAAUCCUAAAUCAAAUCCUAACCAAAUCUUAACUAAAUCUUAACCAAAUAAAAUCCUAAUGCUAAUCCUAAAUCAUAAACUAAAUCCUAAUUAAAUCCUAAUCCUAAAUCAAAUCCUAACUAAAUCGUAAUCCUAAAUCAAAUCCUAAUCAAACCCUAGUAAUUUCUACAACAAAAUUAAACCUCAAUAACUAAUGAAUGAACCAUCGAUCUUAACUCAAAUUUUUUACACUUCUUAAAAAUUAAGUUAAAAACAAGCACAAAAUUUUUAAAAAGCAUUGGAAUUAUCAAAUAGGCGAUAACCUCAAAAACAUACUCGGGUAUUGGCCGGCCUCCUUCUCCAACCUUGAUGACAAUCUUCCAAAGCCAAUAUCUCUCCUUUACAUCAUUUGAUUGAUUUCAAAAUUCUAACACACAUAGAAAAACAAGUCUAAUAUCUUCUUGUAUAAAUUUUACUCCAAUCCAAUUUAUAUAUUUCAAGAAAUCUUAAAAAUCCUCACUAGACCUAAAAUUCUACUUUCUGAGACCUUGAUUCACUUAAACCUCAAUACCCUCAAUUCAACCAUUAGAUUGAGCUAAGAUUUAUGACAUAUAUUAAGCACAAUUAUAACCAUUAAUCCACAAAAUUUUAAUUAUAGAUAUGUUACAAAAUUCUUGAAAUUAUUAGAAACAUCAAUCUUAUUUUAUUUCACAAACCCAAAGUCAUCCAAAAACAAUCUUGACUUUGUAAAGCUUUUACAAAGUCAUAAAAACUCCAAAUUAUCCAAAACCAAUGCUUAUAGAAACUUUAUUCAAUCUGCUAUCAAAGUCCACUCUUUGAUUUGCAAAAAAAUCCCUCGAGUUACAAUAGGUACUCGAUUUUGUGCCUCAGGGUUUGAUUUUGAUUCAAGUUGAUAAUUAGCCCUCCUUGGAUAACAAUAUCUAAUUUUUUUAGGUAAUUUUUGCUAGAAUUUACUCUUAAUUUCUUCUUGAGGAUGUUUAUAUCACUUAUUUUUCUAAUCUACCUUAUUUUGUCUUAUUUUUUGGCCCUACAAAGUAAGUAGAAGCUAUUUUUUCUAAAAGGACAGCAUUACAACUAAAAGUUUUACUACCUUCCUAUCUUUUAUCUAUAUUUUUCUAUUUUUUCUUUUAACUUGGCUCUUCUAUAAUAAGAUCCAUAUUAUUAUCUUUUAUCAUAUGGUCGUGUUACAACACGACAUCCACCUCCUCUGAACUUGUGCGUCCUCCCAUAUACACCAAAUAAUCCAACUUUUUUUGAUUCAUACUAUAUUUUUAAUGUCCUCAUCUAAUUCAUCUUCUUCAUAUUUACUAUUCAAAUCAAAAUCAUCUUAUUUUCUUGAAAGAUUUAUGUCUUUAAUAAAGUCUUCUAUAUUUAUUUAUAUUUACUUUUGUUUGAAUAUCUUCACUUGCUUUUGUUGUCAUCAUCCUUUAAUCGAAUAUAUGCAUGUUUCUUCAAGAAUCUUUCAAUCUAUUUUCUUGAUAAAUACCAAAAAUCCUUCAUCAUCUUCUAAUGUUCCUAACUCAUAUAAUUCUUUCUCAAUCAUUUUUUUUUAAUUUUUAAAUACUAAUAAAACUUAAAUCAAAGGCACCUAUAUCUUGUAAGAUUACCUCCCUUUUUAUACCUCCAUAGUCUUGCUUUACAAUGAUACUUUUCUAAAAUCUUUUUUUUUUUUUUUUUUUGUUUUUUUUUUCACUAAAAACAUCAAUCCUAUUUAAUUUGACUAAACCCAAGUCAUCCAAAAAUAAUCUUGACUUUGUAAAGCUCUUACAAAGUCAUAACAUCUCCAAAUUGUCCAAAACUAAUGCUCAUAAAAACCUUAUCCAAUUUGCUAUCAAAUUCGAUUCUCUGAUUUAUUAAAGAAUCCCAAAGUCGUCGUCGAGACUCAGUUUUGUGCCUCAGGGUCUGAUAUUAACCUUGGUUCAUAACCAGCCCUCUCCGAGUAUCAAGAUCUAGUUUUUCUAAGUAAUUUUUGCUAAAACUUACUCUUAAUUUCUUUCUCAAGAUGCAUACAUUAUUUAUUUUUCCAAUCUACUUUAUUUUUUUUUAUUUAUGGUUCUACAAAGUAAGUAGAAGUCACCUUUCUAAAAGUCAACAUUGGCAUCUUUUAGUUUUACUACCUUUCUGACUAUUAACUAUAUUUCUAAGAUAAUUUUUUCUAAUAAUUUGAACUAAGAUCUCCUACAUUAUAAUAAUUUCUACACUCUUUCACCUAUUAGUUAUGUUACAUCACGACAUCUAUUCUCCUUGAAUCUUUGCAUCCUCUAGCAUGUACCAACGCUUCUUUAAUAUAUUGAUGUAGAAUGUUCUUUAUCUUGGUCUAAUUCUUGAACUUCAAUAUGCUCUUCUGUUCCAAUCUCAAUAUCUUAUAUUGGAGUUUGUUCUUCAUCAAAAAAAAUGUCUUCAUCUCUUUGUUUAAAUAACUUGAUUUGUUUGCCUGCUAUGAGUACCUUCAAUUCUGUACCAUCAAGUUCUUGUAAUAAAUAUGUUCCAUUGUUGUACGCCUUUUUGACAAUAUAAGGCUCAAACCAUCUCUUUGCAAACUUCUUUGUAGUGCUAUGUUGAUUCUCUAAGCUACUAUCAUAAACUAAUAUCCAAUUACCAUCUUCAAUUACCUUAGGUCGUAGUCGAUGCUUUUUAUCAAAUCUUUCCUUAUUCUUUUGCUUGCUUCUUUCAAUUUUUUUUAUUGCUGUUUCAAUAUCAUUAGGUCUUCUUUCUAGUUGUUGAAUCCGUAAUACUAAAUUUCUUCUCUGUUGACAUCAUUCUUCCGAGGCAAUACAUCCCAUGUAGGUACUAUAUCUUUUAUUGGUAUUACUGGUUUUUGUCCAUAUAUUAAAUCAGAAGGCAUAUAACCUGUUACUGAACUAUGAGUUGUAUGAUCUGCCCAUAGUGCAAAUAGUAGUAGUCUAAGCCAUUCAUGUGCUUCGCCAUUGCGUGCCUUUAUUAAUGUCUUAACAAUAGAUGAAUGUCCAUGCUUACUUUUACCAUUACCUUCUGGGUUAUAUGUUUUUGUUAAAAAAAGUUUAAUUCCUAUUUUAUUAAAGGAUUCUCGUGCUUCCUUUGCAUCCAAUUCAUUCUUAUCUGUCAUGAUUUUUUUAAUACAACCAUAGUGAUAAAUAUCCUCUUCUAAUAGAAAUCGACAUACACCUUUAGUAUUCUUUGUUUUAAAUGCUCGUCCUUUAACUACAUUUGAUAAAGCUUCUCGUGCAAGUACCAAAUACUUCAUUUGUCUAAGUCCCAUAGGCAUUGCCACUAAAUCCACUACCUAUUUAUAAUGUAAAGCCAAAAGAUAUGUUGGAUGUAAUCCAUCUCGAUGCCAAAUAUUUGAAUAUACUUAGCAAGUUUGACAAGAUCCCACAAAAUUUGCUACGUCUUUGUACAUUCCCUUCUACCAAUAUUUUUUUCUUAACUUAGUGAAUGUUACCCAAAUACCUCGGUGCCUUGCCCAUAAAUUUUUAUGAAAUUCUUUAAUAAUCCUUUGUUGAGCUUCUAAACCACAUAUCAUCUUUUUUAGUACUUUUCUUCUUUUUUAGAUACUUCCAUAAAUAUCCAUCAUAUAAAAAAUAUCCAUAGGCUUUUUUACUGAUUUUUUUAAAUUCUUGAUCUGUUCAAUCUUUUUGUUACUUUAAUGUGCUCAAAUACUCUCCAACAUCUUUCCAUUCAUUUUCAUAUAAAUCUCUUAAAAAUAUUUUCAAUGGUAUAUUCAAACAUACACCUUUUUCCUUUGAUAAUGCAUUAGUAUAAAAUUUUGUACCCACAUCAUCUUCCAAAUCAAUCAUCUCUUCUUCAUCAUUAUACGUUGCUCUUGAUAAUAUAUCUCCAAUUGAAUUUUCUUUCCCUACAAUAUGUUUAAAUUCUAGAUUCAUAGAUUUUAUAUAUGCUAUCUACCUCAACAUACCAAUAUCAGGAGUUGAACAACUUGUAAUCAUGCCUAACAAAAAUAGAUAAUCUGUUUCUAUAACUAUUGAUGCACCAAUCAAGUACUCUUUUUUAUUUUUCAUAGCUAUUACUACACCCCAUAACUCUCUUUUGAUUUGCCCAUAAGUCCUUUGUCUAAAAUUCAAUACUUUUAUUCCAAAUCUUACUACAUAUCUAUUCCCUUGUUCAUCAUCUUGUCCAUCUACCCAACCUAUUAUAAUUGAAUUUGCAUCAACUGUUAAUACCAUUGACCUUCCACCUUCAUUAUUCACUUUCUUCAAAGUUGGAGAUGAAGAAAGAAGUUCUUUCAAUUUUUCCAUAACUUUCUAUUGUUCUUCUUUCUAUUGAAAUUUUUGAUUCUUUCUUAACAAUCCAUACAAAAGAUCUGCUAUAUGUGCAAAGUGAAGUAUUCAUAUACGAUAGAAAAUACAUGCUUCUAAAAAUCUUCUCACUUCUAUUAUAUUUGUACAUUCUUUUAUCUUUUUAAUAAUAUCAAGCUUUUCUAUAUUUGGCUUACGUCCAUAUGAACCACACAUGUAUCUUACCAUCAAAACUUCUUUUACUCCAAACAUUGAUUUUGUCCUCAAUAAGGUUAAAUGAACUUCUUCUAAUCUUUUCAAAAUCUUCUCACAAUCUUCAAUAUGAUCUGUCACAAACUUCUUACAUCCCUUUGAAUCCAAAGUCUCAUCUUUUUUUUCUUCUUCACAUCCCUUAAUUGGUAUAUCAUCUAAGAAAGACAUUGUUCUUCUUGAAAUAAAAUCUUUUAACACCUGAUGCAUUCCAUUCAUCAUAUGUGCUACAAAAUUUAUAGCCCUUUGUAGUAAUGUGCAUAUUCUAACCAAUCCUAACCAUGUCUUCAUAAUUGUCAAAUCCCUACUUUGUAUUCCCAAUUGAAAUUGAUCAUAACCUGAAUAAAGAUCACUCAUUGAAUAGAUAGCUCUUUCGGCAAAUGUUUUUGCAAAUUCAUCCACAAUUGGACUUGAAUCCAUAUUUCUAAUAGUCACUUUAUUUACAGGUUGCAUGUCUUAUAUAAAUCUCAUUGUUCUAUUUUUUUUUCAUAUUGUAAACCAUCGAUUAGAAUAAAGUACCAUAGAUGGUUCCAAAAUUUCUAUUUUAAUCUUUUUAUUAAAUAAAUCUACUAAUUUAGAUAAAUAUACUCUUGGUACUGGAAUUAGUCGCAAAUUCCAUGGUUCAUGAGGAAUAGUAAAAAUAACCAUGGAUGCUAUAAUACUUGGAUCAAUACAUCCUAUUUCAUAUGCUUCAAAUGCAAAAGCCUUUCCAUGACAUGAAAACAUAUUCCUAAAAUAUUUUUCUUUACAUUUUGUCAAAAAUCCAUCGUAUCAAACAUUUAAUCCAUCUAAUGUAACAUCCAUAAAUUUAUGGUCUAUCUUCCUUGCAUCCCUUAAAUUUGGAUGUGUCGAUGCUCUACUUAUCUUUUCUUCAUAAUCUGAUGGUAGAGGCAAAGCCACUGGUUUGACCUUUCUUGCUAUUGAUUUAUACUUAGUUUCAACACAUACCUCUUGGCAACUUAAAUUUUCUAUAAAUCCUUGAAUUUCAUCAUAAAAUUCUUUAGAACACACAUUAAUAACUCUAUUCUCUACUUGUAACUUACAUUAUAAUAGAUAAUUUAAUUCUUCCAUAGUAUGUGCAAAACCUACUUCUUCAUAUACUCCUGAAAGAAAUUCAUUUUCAACCAAUGCUCCAUUUUCUUUCAAGUUUUACUCAAUAUUUUUAAUAUAACAUCUGUUCAUCCUUUUUAUUUUGUCAAUAGUCUUAAAACACAAUACACAAUCUUGUGUCAUCCCAAUAAGUUUGAUAGAUAAUAUUUCUUCUUUUAAAGUAAUCCAUUACAACCUUGCCUUACAAUGGUAUGUAGUAAAAACCCUCAAGGUCUUCAAAUUUUUCAUUUGAUAAUGGCUUCUCUCUUAACUUAUCACAAUUUCUCUCAUGAUAAGCACAAACAAUUAAAAAUUGAACUGCUUUCAUCCCAUCUUCGCUUCUUAUUCUUGUAUAGGUUGAACCAUCAUCCAUUACUUUUGUUUCGAUUUGUUUGGCAAUAAUAUAUGAUUGUCUCAAUAUAAUAGGAUAUGUAGACAUGUCUUGUACAAAGAAAUUUUGUUCAUGAAUAAUAUCUCUUAUUAUCACCUUGAUAUUUAGACAUGCUCCAUAGAAAUCUCCUUUUGAAUUAUUUGCUGUUCUUAUCAUCCACCCAUGUUCAGUAUCAAUAGGCCAUUUUUCUUUUUUAUACAAUUCUUUUGACAUCAAAUUGAUUUCAGAACUAUGAUCAAUCAAUGCUACAACUAGUUCUUCUAAAUUUUCUAAUUUUAUCAAAAAAAUUGUAACAACCCUUAUCUAAUGACUUCUAGAAUAAUGGCUAGAAGUUUAAAUGACAUCUUCUUUUUCUACAAAUCUUACUCGCAAGACAUCUCCAAAAUUUUGUAUUUCAUCUUCUUCAUCUUCAUUGCUUUCCAUUGCCCUUGUUUUUUGUGCAUUUGAUGUCAUAGAAUUUCCUAUAGAUUGUCAUUUUCUCUUUAUUGUAUCAAUAAUAACUUCAUGAAAGUCACGCUUUGCAAUUCCUAAAAUUUUACCAAUUGUGAAUUCAACCUUUUCACUUAAAAUCCGCUCUUCCAAUAUUUUCUUUAAAUAUGUAGCAACUUCAAUAUCUAAUUGUAAUUUAUAAGCAUGAGCCUUUGUUUUUUCUUUUUCAAUUUUCCUUCUUUUUGUAGAAAUAUUCUCUAUUAUCUCUUCAUGUAUAGGAUUCUUUUGUUGUCAUGCUUUUUUUCUCCUUACCCUUCAUUAUUUUCAUCUCUCUUUCAUUUUUCUUUUAUUAAUGCUUCAUGUUGACUCCUUGCAAUAUGAGCAUGCACAGAUAAUCUAUCUAUUAGAUCAUCCCACCUAAUAAUCUAUCAAAUGUUAUUACCAACAUGUUUUAAAUCAUCUCUAGUAAAAUUUCUCCUUUCAGCAUAAUUCAUUGUAUUUGUCUACAAAGAACUAGAUUCUCUUAGAAAUUCAAGUUUUAUACUUAAACAUUUACUAGGAUUUGCUUCCACCUAAUAUAUUGAUGCUUCAUUUCUUGAGAUUGCAUGCACUUUAAAAGUAUCUCCUACAAAUAACUUCAUUCAUCCUUUACCAAAAUUUGUUUCUAAUUUUUCUCCACUUUCUUUUAAAUAUAUCAUAUCAUCUUUAAAAAAAUAAUUCAUUUACAUAAUGCCUCUAUAAAAUCUUCACAUUCCCUCCUUAAAUGAUCUAUGCUAUCACACCACAUGCACCUAUAUACUACACCUUCUAUUGGCCCUAAUCUUUGUUUUAUUGAUAAUCUAGAUGAUUGAUCCUUCUCUUCAAGUUUUACAAAUUUUAUUUACAAAUAUCUCAUUCCACAUAUGAUUUUAUCAAUGCCCAUUUCUUCUUUCUUUGAUGUAGCCAUUGAAAGUUGAAUCAAAGAUGUUGAAUGGAUACUAUGCACUUUUAUCUUAGAUGCUUGUAAUGGUCUUUGAAUACCCACUCUAUCUUUUUUCCUUUCUCUUUUUGCCAAUAGUCCUACUGUUUACUCUACUUCUUUUUAAUUUGUUGUCAAUCCUUCAUCUUUUUCUUUAUCUUCAAGUAAGAUUUCCAACUUCUCUUGCAACUCUCUAUCAGCUGCUUGAAGAAAGAACUCCACCAUACUUGGGUCCACCAAUUAUCUUUCUUUCUUUGAUAAAGAAGAAUAUUGCUUUUCAAACUCCCUUAAUAACUUUGUUGCUAGAAGAUCCUUCUCUGGCCUUUCAAUCCAUUCAAAAAAAGACUUUUUUGUAAUCCUAUCACUAUCUCCCAAGAAAAACUCAUCCUUCAAUCCUUGAGAAAAUUUCUCCCAUGAAUCUCCAAAAUGUCCUAUAAGAGACUUUACUUGAUUUCUUAUUUUUUGUGCAGAGGCUAAUUCAAAUAAUUGAACCAUCUCCCUUUCUGAAAUACACUUCAAUUCUAUUUCUUUUACAUAAUAUCUUAAAUAUGUUAUAAUAACUUUUCCUUCAAAUUGAUCGAUCUUGUCUACAACUGCUUGUAAUGCUUUGUUAGCCAUACUUUCUUUGCGAUCUUUAACUUGUUGCUAUUCCUGUUGCAUGAAUAAGGCAAAAGUCUCAAUCAUGCUUGCAAAUUUAGGACCAAAAUGACUACCUUGUCCUCCAAUCGAAGCUCAUCUUCUAACUCCACUUGAAGCACCAUCAAAAAUUCCUCCUUCCAUUGUCUUGCAUUCUUUUUUCAAAAUUCAAAUAAUCCAAGAAAACCAAAUUCCUUCUACCUCAAGCGUUUCAUGUUAGAUUCACCAAACAUGUUGUAAUAUGUGAAGUCUUGCAUGAGAAUGCUCCGUGUACUUGGGUGUAGAAGGUAGAAUAUAAAUUGAAAUUAAAAAAUCUUAAUUCUAAUAGAACACUAACAAUGCUAAAGAAGCUUUAAUCAAAUUCAGAGAAACCUCAAACAAAUUCAAAAGAAAUGAUAAGAAAUCUUAAAGAAAUAUUAUAAUGAUUACAAACAUAUCUCAAAUACAUCUCAAUUCAAUCUUAAUUUAAUCUUAGUUGAAAUCUUACUUCAUUCAAAUUUUAGGCGAAAACCUAACUAAAUCUUAAAUCCUAAAUAAACUCAAAUAAAAUCCUAAAUCUUAAAUCAAAUCCUAAGCAAAUUCUAAAUCCUAAAUCAAAUGCUAAGCUUAAUUCAAGUCCUAAUUAAAUCUUAAAUCCUAAACCAAAUCCUAAUCCUAAAUCAAACCCUAACCAAAUCUUAACCCUAAAUCAAAUCCUAACUUAACCUUAAAUCCUAAAUCAAAUCCUAAUCUUAAAUCGUAUCCUAACAAAAUCUUAAAUUGUAACCUUAAAUCAAAUUCUAACCAAACUCUAAUCCUAAUCCUAAAUCCUAAUUCAAAUCCUAACCAAACUUUAACUCUAAAUCAAAUCCUAACCAAACUCUAAAUCCUAAACCAAAUCCUAAUCCUAAAUCAAAUCUUAACCAAAUCUUAACCAAAUCCUAAUCCUAAAUCAAAUCUUAACUAAAUCCUAAUACUAAAUCAAACCCUAACCAAAUCGUAAUCGUAAAUCAAAUCCUAAUCAAACCCUAGUAAUUUCUACAACAAAAUUAAACCUCAAUAACUAAUGAAUGAACCAUCGAUCUUAACUCAAAUUUUUUAUACUUCUUAAAAAUUAAGUUGAAAACAAG
RNAcentral lists this long non-coding RNA (9847 nucleotides) under Physcomitrium patens. RNAcentral describes it as "long non-coding RNA (PPAT_LNC011792)". The record is from RNAcentral. Lineage: Eukaryota; Viridiplantae; Streptophyta; Bryopsida; Funariales; Funariaceae.